Arabidopsis lyrata subsp. lyrata is the source of this 246-nucleotide non-coding RNA. It matches the Rfam family "RNase MRP". From Rfam's summary of the family: RNase MRP is an enzymatically active ribonucleoprotein with two distinct roles in eukaryotes. In mitochondria it plays a direct role in the initiation of mitochondrial DNA replication. In the nucleus it is involved in precursor rRNA processing, where it cleaves the internal transcribed spacer 1 between 18S and 5.8S rRNAs. The record is from Rfam. Lineage: Eukaryota; Viridiplantae; Streptophyta; Magnoliopsida; Brassicales; Brassicaceae.
CUGUCAUUGGACGAAGUGAAUGGGUCAAAUGGGCUUGCCUAAGUUCCGACCCAGGAAAGUCCCCGGGCUACUAUCCGCAGAGAUGCGGCCUCUGUAACGAGAGAGUCUUGCGGUGGAGAGACUCAGUCGGCUGAGACGCGUUUGUGGAGCUUAUGUGGUCUCUCCGCCGAUGAUAUCAUGGCCGUUCGACAGUUAUUCACCUGGUCCUUAAUGGACUAACUGAACGGGGCUUACGUUUCAAUGACA